This 403-nucleotide long non-coding RNA is filed under the name Nicotiana benthamiana. RNAcentral describes it as "long non-coding RNA (NBEN_LNC034804)". The record is from RNAcentral. Lineage: Eukaryota; Viridiplantae; Streptophyta; Magnoliopsida; Solanales; Solanaceae.
CCCACUUAGUGGGGUCUGGGGAGGGUAGUAUGUACACAGACCUUACCCCUACCCUGGGGUAGAGAGGCUGUUUCCAAAUAGACCCCAGCAUCCUUCCGUCCAGUAACUUCCCACCUUGCUCUUGGUUAGACUCGAACUCACAACCUCUCGGUUGGAAGUGGGAGUUCCAUACAAUCAGAGCAACUCCUCUUGUUUAGAGUUUAGAGUUUAAGAAAAAAAGAUUUUUUUUACCACAUGCCAAAAGCAUCUUUAGAACUUGCGGUCUAAAACAUGUCAUGCCAUUUCUGUGGCUAUAAAAGCAUGUCGGUAGGUGUAAAAUGAGAGUUUUAAGCUUAAAGACUUCCCAAUUACAUAAAGGUGUUGUUCGUUUUUAUCAUAACAAAAAGGAAAGAGUACAUAUAAA